UCAGAUCCAUCUAUCCACUGAAAUAAAUCACAAGGCGUGGCAGUCAUUGGAUCAAAAGUCCACUUGCACACAUAGAAAGCUCUUCCAGUUGUUUUUGGAUGCCUGGAUUGUUUCACCUCUGCUUGCACUCCACAUCUACAAAGAGGUACCGGAAGGGCAGGAGGUACAGGAGCACCAGCAUUGGACUUGUCCACGUAACGCACAUACCACCUACACCGCUUGUAUUCACAACCGAACGACGUCAUCUCACCUACACAGCAAGUGCCAGUAAAUUAAUAUACAAAUAAACUUUAAAAACGUAAUCCAUCUACUUCACCAUACAAACUAUAUACAUCAAUUCGACAAAAUACAAACACUCCAUAUACAAAAUACAAACACUUAACCAUAUCAACUAUAGCAACUAUAUUAAGGAACAAAAAUAUGAGACAAAUUAAUUGAACAUAUUGCAAAAAAACAUCAUGUACACCAUGCCAUGUACACUACACAAGUGCAUACCAACUUAUACAAUCCCACCAUCAAACAUACAAAUUAAACAAUCCAUCUGCAAAAUACAAAC
RNAcentral lists this long non-coding RNA (556 nucleotides) under Setaria viridis. Its description in RNAcentral is "long non-coding RNA (SVIR_LNC002879)". The record is from RNAcentral. Lineage: Eukaryota; Viridiplantae; Streptophyta; Magnoliopsida; Poales; Poaceae.